UGAAGACUGUUCUUCCUAGCGCCUCAGGCCUGCACUAGGAUUUCAUGUCCUCAUAAGUUAAAAUUUAAUUUUCUUUAAAAAAAUUUGUCUUCAUGCAGAGGAAGUAAGGAUAAUCUAUGCAGAGAUUUACAAGA
Cavia aperea (Brazilian guinea pig) is the source of this 134-nucleotide small nucleolar RNA. Lineage: Eukaryota; Metazoa; Chordata; Mammalia; Rodentia; Caviidae. The record is from Ensembl.